Molecule: long non-coding RNA, 2792 nt
Organism: Clupea harengus (Atlantic herring)
Lineage: Eukaryota; Metazoa; Chordata; Actinopteri; Clupeiformes; Clupeidae
Source: Ensembl
CACAACUAAAAUGUGCAAAAGAAUGACAAAUAUUCUCCAUCUCAAAUCAUCUCUGGGGGCGUCUCUUGGUUCUUUGUGUAAACACUUUUGGAGAUGUCCGCGGGUCUGCUCCAAAACAUCUACUAAAGUGUGAAUGUCCAGGGAAUGGAAGGACAGCCUAACAGAAGCCACAGCCAUUUGAGCCGUUUUACUCAGAGAUCGAAAUGUAUAAACAUCCACAUCUCUCGAAACCAUGGCAAUGACGAACCACUUAACGCUCCUCGGCCAGAGGAGACAGUCUAUCCACCAUGAGGCUUUGCGGUGGGAACAAAAACGGACCUGUGUUCACAAUUGGUCCUUGAGGGGUUAGGCUACACCUGCACAUAACCUUUAGCAUUAGGGUUUUGUCAUAAAUGGAGCGCACUUUGAGUUUCCCUAGCAAGAGUGGUUGAGAGCAAGGCAAAACUGAAACAGUUACAGAACAAAACAGAUUGUACUGUGGAUUUUGGUUAGGCCUACAUCACACUCUGAAUAGCAGGUGUUCUGGGUUUAUUAAACCGUAAAAGGUAGGCCUGCGCAAUUUGUUUUGGGGUUAUCGUUAAGUUUUGGGAUGUUAUUUGAGUGUCACGAGAGAUGAACAUAUCAUGAUUAUUUGUUUAAAUAUAUGUUCUUUUAGAUAAAUUGCUGCUGGGCUACAUCAGACCUUAGUCUAAGUCUAAUCAUAUCCGUUGUCAUCAUCAAGUGUAUCUUGCGGUUAUGGAGAUAUGAUUCGCUAUGAUUUUCCUUUUACUUAGAUACAACAGUUUUUUUGCCUGUAUAUCAUGUUUCUACCUUGCAAAAUGUUAUGUUAUUGCGUUUAUUUGUGAGUCAAACCGUUGCACUUCCAAACAGGAGGCCGCAGUGCACGCGUAAUCUACAGCAAUAUAUAUUCGGUAACACACACUCAUUUCAGUGCUUAGAUGUUUGGCUGAUAACAGAAACUCUCGUGAAUAGGGCUAAUUAAGCGGUACACAACUCAUGAAAACAUUUAAUUCUGAGAGCACCAGUGUUUUAGUACUGGAGUUCAAAACUCGGACUUCGGACUCCGGACUCGGAUUCCAGCAUUGACUGCAGUUGGACACGGAAGUUAGAGAUGGGGUGGCUGAGCGCGAUAUAUGGGUGGAUAAGGUACACUGACAUAUUUUUCAAACGGGAUAUAGGAGGAGACAAUACCGUUUAGACGGAUAUAGUUUGAUGUUGUGUUACAUAAACUGUUUCUUCUGUAAAGCUGACAGUGUUCGCUCCUCUCAUCUUCUCUCACACAUCUCCUCACAACCCCGACCGAUCAACCCAAAUCAUCUGACCGGCUCAUGGACUAUGCCUAUUAAGUUUAAUAUCACGUUCGAACACUAUGUACAAUUUCACAACAGAAUACAGCAGAAUAAUGUGUAGGUAGGCUAGUUAAUUUAGCUUUUAAUGACAUCGCAUUACGCCGUGAACGUCAAGCGAAUAUCUAAGCUACCUUCACCCGCCGUCAAUCCAUCACACACCUGACACCAAAUGAGUGGGGCCUAAAGCAGUGGAUGAGACAGACUGUGCAUAACCUUUUUACUGCCAUCAGGAGGCCAGAAGAAACCGAGGGAAAGGAGUAGCAAAUUUAGCAAGGUUUAUUUUCUGCAAUUGUAAUAUUAGGGGAGAGCUGGUACAAACGUAAUAUACAGUUAAAAUAAACCUCCCACAUCACCAAUAUUUUACAAUAUAUCAUAAAUGUUUCUUUAAACACCUAAAUACGCCUAGUGUAAAUCUAACUCUCAUAGCCGUUGUCAUCAUCAAACGUGUUUCUUGCGGUUAUGGAAAUAUGAUACGUGAAGAUUUUACCAUUUACGUAGAUACAACAAUGGUUAAGGUAUUUUUCAAGGGCAUUGGAUAUGCCGAGAGGUAUCUUGAAGAGAUCAAGGCCUAUCUCCAAAGACGACUUUGUGUGACUCAGGUUGGAGAUGUACGGGAAUGUGAUGUCAUCUUGGUCCUCUGUCCAAUCGUCUCUCGAGCUGGAACUGAUGUUGAGGCUGCACUGAGUGCGAUUCCAAGCUCAAAGCCUACACUUCUCAUGGUGCUUCAUCGCACAAUCGACCCGGAUGACAUAAUACCCAACACCCAGAAGUAUGUCGAAGGGAGAGGAAUGACGCUAGACCUGCUUUUCAAUGAGGAUCAAGGAAUACUCUCUUGCAGAAGAAAUGAGGACUCUAAGAUUUCGGCUGCAGAUUUCCUUAGCCAAUAUCAAACUGCCAACUCUGGAGGUGUUACUGGCUUUUUAAGUGACAUACGUUCGAUAAUAAUGAUUGUGUCUAUUUCAGUUGCAUGCAUUGAUUCUACUUUGGCACUGCAUUUCUUUGUCAGUAAUGCAUUUCGUUGUCUCAGUACUUGUACUCUGUCUCAGUACUUGUGCGUUGUCUCAGUUGUACUUGUACUCUGUGCAAUGACAAAACAGUUGAAUCUAAUCUAAUCUAAUCUAAUUGUCUGGAUUUAAAAAAAAAAUUAUAUUCCUCUAAGAUAACUCAGUCAAGAUCAAUUGAUUGUUUUUUCCUAGGCUAUUUACAUAGACUACACUACAGUUGAAACAUGAGCAUAAUCCAACUGAAAUCUGAUAGGCUAUCAGAACCCUAAAAAAUUGGGCUUCGGUCUUGAAUGCCAGAAGUGUUUUGUUAAGUCAUAUAUUGGCAAUACCAACAUGUGUUAUUUGAAAACAUUAAAAAGAAGAAGUGUCAUUUGAUUUAAGAGUAAAUUGUAGUUUAUUAGUUGUAAUUACUCAACUUCCUUGCAUCCUCAAACUGCCC